Molecule: non-coding RNA, 4972 nt
Organism: Oryctolagus cuniculus (rabbit)
Lineage: Eukaryota; Metazoa; Chordata; Mammalia; Lagomorpha; Leporidae
Source: RefSeq, a predicted model, not a curated record
GUUUGUUUUGAAAAUGGAGAGGAUAGUAAUAAUAUGUUUGAAUGAACUGGAUGUUUCUUUUUUGAAGAUUUAUUUUAUAUGAAAGACAGACACACAGAGAGAGACAUCUUCCAUCAUCUGGUUCACUCCCACAAAUGACUGCAAUGGCUAGGGCUAGGCCAGGCCAAAGUCAGGAGCCUGGGGUUCCAUCCAGAUCUCCUCUGUGAGUUGUAGGGACCCUAGGACCCCAAGUACUUGGGCCAACCACUGCUUUCACAGGUAGAUUCACAGGGAGCUGGAUUACAAGGGGAACAGCCAGGACCCAGCGCAUAACUGCAUUAUGGGACACUGGCAUUGCAGCCUUCUGUGCCACAGCACUGGCCACAGAUGUGUGCUUCUUCUCCAUCGAAACCCAAAUCCAGUGCAGCAAGGCCACUGUGCUACUAAGGAGUUGAUCCUGGGUAAUUAACUCCUUCUUAUUUUAUUCUAGUGAGUAAUCUAGAAGAUGCCAAGGGUUUCUGUCACAGGGUGGAACAGUUGGCUGAGGUAUAUAGGGUGUACAAUGAUACACAUGUAUUUUUAGAGGUUGGCAUGGUAGCCCAGGGGGUUAAGCUGCCGCUUGCGAUGCCUGAAUCCCAGAUUGAAGCACUGGUUCGAUUCCCAGCUACUCCACUUUUGAUUCAGCUUCCUGCUUAUGUGCCUGGGAGGGCAGUAGCAGGUCACUCAAGACCUUGGGCUCCUGCCACCUAUGUAGGGAGACCGGGAUGGAGUUCCUGGCUCCUGGCUUCUGCUUGCCCCAGAUCUGGAUGCUAUGGUCAUUUGGGGAGUGAACCAGCAGAUCUUUCUCUCUGUCCUCCUUCUCUCUCUGUCAUUCAGCCUUCCAAAUAAAUAAAUAAGUAAACCAAUCAAUCAAUCAAUCUUAAAAAGAAGUAAAUUUUCCAGUCAAUCAUGUUUCCAGAACUUUAAGAGUCAUCAAUUUUUGUCCAUUUGCUUAUCCCAUAGAUACUGAGGCUUACAGAUACUUAUGGAGUCCCAAUCAGACUUCGGUAAUUAGGUGGUGAUCAAAACAAUAAGUAUCUGCGUAUUUAUACCAACUGAACAACCUUGUUUUAAGUUUGUCAUCACUUCUCUUGAACAAUAAAAACCUGUGAUAUUUUGUCAUACCUAUUCAGUCCAGAAAAGUAGAAAAUAAAAUAGCUUCCCACCUCACGAUUGUUGUCAAAAGAGCCUAUCCAUGCAAUGUGUUUAACACAGGGCUUGGCUCAUAGUAUAAGAAGCGCUUGGUAACACUAAUGGUUUCAACUAUUCCUAUGCUAUAAUUAUCAUUUUGCGAAUUUUUUUUUAAAAUCACUGGAGAGUUUAAGCCAAACUUGGGUCAGAUCUGGGUGUGCCUUUUCAAAGUCAAUGAUUUUGAACAACUUACACAGCCUCUCUGCAUUUCAGUUUCCUCAUCUGUGAAAUCAGUGUGAUGUCAGCGCCUGCGCCAUGGGAUGAUUGCAAGGAGUAGUGAGAUGCUGUUUCUAAGGUGGCUGGCGUGGCACCUGGCUUGUACUGAAUGCCACUAGUUACUGUAAUCUUUGGAAUAUCCAAAGCGUGUGUUGUCGCUUUGAACUGACACGAUAUUUUCACCUAAAAAUUCUCAUGUAUUGCUCAGGGAACAGAGAAGGGUCACUGUUUAUUUCAUCCUUGUAGUUGUUUAUGAAAUAAGGAGUUCCAUGAUCUGCCCAAAACUACAGGGAAAGUCAAUCCUUCGUCCUGGCAGGCAUCACUGGAGUUACAAGUGAUUCCCGGAGCACUCUGUUAGCCUGGUGAGAACACCUGUGUGUAGACAGUUGUAUGAAGGAUUCAGCAUUCAUCAAGGUGGAUCUGAGCUGGCUCUCUGGAAUGCAUAUCUUGGUGGGAAGCAGCCCUUCAAGAAUUAAGGUACGGGGUAGGCAUUGUGAGUCAGCGGGUUAAGCCACCAUGGGGGACAACAACAUCCCGUAUCCGAGUGCCAGUUAGAGUCCCAGGUACUCGACUUGUGAUCCAGCUUCCUGCUUGGGUGCCUAGGAGGCAGCAGACGAUGGCUUAAGGAUCCCUUAAGGGUCCCUGCCACCCACAAGGAAGACCCAGGUGAAGUCCCUGGCUCCUAGCUUUGACCUGGCCCAGCCUUGGCUGCUGUGGGCAUUUUGGAAAUGAGCUGUGGAUGGAAGUUCUCUCUGUGUGUGUCAUUCUGUCUUUAAAUUGAUCAAUCAAUAAUUUUUUUUUUUUUUAAGAACUGAGGCUUAGUAAACUGAGGGUCUCAUGCCUCCCUCAAUGGGCAAAGCCACUGCUGUCAUAAAAAAAAUCCUGGCUGGCGCCACGGUUCAAUAAGCUAAUCCUCCGCCUAGCGGCGCCGGCACACCAGGUUCUAGUCCCGGUCGGGCCGCCGGAUUCUGUCCCGGUUGCCCCUCUUCCAGGCCAGCUCUCUGCUGUGGCCCGGGAGUGCAGUGGAGGAUAGCCCAAGUGCUUGGGCCCUGCACCCGCAUGGGAGACCAGGAGAAGCACCUGGCUCCUGGCUUCGGAUCGGCGCAGUGCGCUGGGUGCAGUGCGCCAGCCGCAGCGCGCCAGCAGCAGCGGCCAUUGGAGAGUGAACCAACAGCAAAGGAAGACCUUUCUCUCUCUGUCUCUCUCACUAUCCACUCUGUCAAAAUAAAUAAAUAAAUAAAAUCCUGUCCCUUUGCCUCAGUCACAACAAGGGGACAUAGCCUCUUGACCAAAUACUCAGAUACUCGAAGUCUUUUCUGUCUCACUUCCAGCAUCAGAGCCAUGUAUUUCUUUUUUAAAAAAUGCUGUUGAAAAGAUUCUACUUUGGGGCCAUUGUUCUUGGAAGGACUGCUGAGAUCUUCACUUUCUCUGAUUCUUCCACCAAACUUUCGCAGGAUGUGAGUCCAGCCUUACAUCUUUAGAUUUCCAAAAGGAACAGGUCAUCUGGAGUUAUACACACUUAAACAUAUUAUACACACAAAAAUGUACACACUUCAAAGUCACAGACUCCAUGGAAUCAAAGCCAAAACAUGGCAAUGGCUUGCGUGAGGCCUGGGGACAGCCAUUUGCAAUGUCAGCUGUCCAGGGGGGCCUGAUUCUUUUCGGAGGUCAGGAAGGAGUUCCGUGGACAAGUGGCAUUUAAUCCAAAGCCAGAUGAAUAGGUAGGCGGUUGUCAGGAGAGGGACAGGGUGCAGCUCCCCGUGGCUGGAGCAGAGCUCGACACUGUGGACUGCAGGGCUGGGGAGGCAGGUGAGACAGGCACAACUAGAUGUGACAGGGCACUGUGGUGUGGUUGAGUCAGGCAGCUCUUUACAAACAGGGUGCCCUUCUGGGAAUCGACUGGAAGGGGCAAGAAGACAGUGGAGAGACACUGUAAGGUGUGGUGGUGGCGACGUCCACCCACACCUCUGAUUCUCACCCCCGUCUCAUCCCUGUUGGAUGCAGUGCCAGUGUCGUACCAAGCCAAGCUGAUUUCCUGUUCUGCCAUGUUUUUCUAGAGUGAGGACGACUGUCUCUCAACUUCAGCCUUGGUCAAGAUUUAGAGGGAACUUUCUGACUGCUUCCAGAGCCCCGACGCCUAUCCCCUACUCCGGGUCCCUUUUCAGUUUGCAGAUUUACUUUUGUCUCAAAUGCGUUUUCACCUGUGUUUUCUUUUACACCUAAAUGCCAGUUUUCAACUGUCAUUGAAUAAGAAUUAAGAACACGUUACAUUAAAAAAUAGCUUAUCGGUAAAUCAAACCUUCUGGCAAACGUGAGGGUUGAGGUACCAAGUGUCAUUGUCUUUUAUAUCUACCUAAGGAAAUACUUUUUCUCCCUCUUUACAGCUGACAUAGUUGUUUUUGAGAAAUGCAGCCCUCAGGUUGUUGGAAGUCACUGUGAAUUAAAUCAAGCUAGUUAAAUGGCAAACUGCCAGGAGAAUUUUAAAAACUUGUGUGAGAAGAUAUUGCUAUUUUUUUUCCUGUCACUUUAAAUUUUCCAAGGCCACCCCAUAGAACGUUGGGAGCAGGUAUUGGAUAUUGAUUCAAAACGUCAAGGUCAUCAGACCCACUCGAUGGCUUUGAAAGUCAGGGGUUCGAGAUCCAGGAAGAAGCAGACACCUACCUGAAGAGGAUAAAGGCCCAAAACUCUGUGCCCCUGGCAUACAGCAAUGGGCCUUGGUCCCUUCACACGGCACUGGGCAGUCUCCAUUUCUGUCUGCUCCGGGCACGCUCACGUGUCUGGUGAAUCCAGGCUUGCAUCUGGUCCCUUUACCAUGCAUUGACUUCGGCUUUUUUUUUUUGCUGGCAAAUAAAUCAUUUCUUUCAGAUCAGAUAAAAAAUGGGCUAUGCUCUUUUGGAAACAGAAGACUUCCAGAUAAUUCCAUGUUUGCACUAUAAACUAUACCAGUCAAUUGCACAUUCAGGUUUACACUGGGGCCAGAUUUAUGCCCCUGAGAAAGUUCUAUUUUUGCAUGAUUUAGACAAAAAAAUGUGUCUGAACAGCCUUACCCAGCCUAAUUUAUAUGAAACUGGGAUUCUGCCACCUGGAGUUUCGGGUCUGCUCUGUGAGACGUGUCUGGUAUGUGACUAAGGACCAAGUGAGGAGGAGGCGGUGGUGGAGGGGAAGAGAGGGGCUCCCUGGAAAACAGGCCCCCAUCCCAGACAACUGAAUGGGGCGUGCACAACCAGCUGGGAGGGAGGCCUCCCCAUUGUGUUUGUGUUAUUGGCUCUUGUGUACAACCAGAGAGGCUCCCCCUCCCCAGGGCACGCCUGGUUGCUACGAUCUGUUCCUGGGGGCUUAUAUGCAUCCCAAAUGGCAUCUCCCUCCCGUCCAGACAGCCUGGGCUUUGCUCAAUUACCAAAGCCGGCAGCAUUUUGAUCCCAAACACUUCUGGUUCCCACCUGCAUCUGAGCCUGCACGAGAGAGAGGACAAGCCGAACAGCUCCCCCUCCCCACCCUGUUCCAUAUCCGGGGCCUGUCCGCUGGCCAAUCCACCCCCGCCCCACCC